GGCGGCAUGGCCAAGUGGUAAGGCAGGGGACUGCAAAUCCUUUACCCCCAGUUCAAAUCUGGGUGCCGCCUG
Molecule: transfer RNA, 72 nt
Filed under: Saccharum spontaneum (wild sugarcane)
Lineage: Eukaryota; Viridiplantae; Streptophyta; Magnoliopsida; Poales; Poaceae
Description: tRNA-Cys
Rfam family: tRNA
About the family: Transfer RNA (tRNA) molecules are approximately 80 nucleotides in length. Their secondary structure includes four short double-helical elements and three loops (D, anti-codon, and T loops).
Source: RNAcentral